This 440-nucleotide ribosomal RNA is filed under the name uncultured bacterium. RNAcentral's name for it is "partial 16S ribosomal RNA". It matches the Rfam family "Bacterial small subunit ribosomal RNA", at positions 338 to 795 of the family's 1533-position model. The record is from RNAcentral.
CCUACGUGUGGCAGCAGUGGGGAAUAUUGCACAAUGGGGGAAACCCUGAUGCAGCGACGCCGCGUGAGUGAAGACGUACUUCGGUAUGGAAAGCUCUGUCAGCAGGGAAGAAAAUGACGGUACCUGACCAAGAAGCCCCGGCUAACUACGUGCCAGCAGCCGCGGUAAUACGGAGGGGGCAAGCGUUAUCCGGAUUGAAUGGGUGUAAAGGGAGCGUAGACGGCAGGGCAAGUCUGGAGUGAAAGGCGGGGGCUCAACCCCCGGACUGCUCGUGAAACUGCCAGGCUGGAGUGCAGGAGAGGUAAGUGGAAUUCCUAGUGUAGCGGUGAAAUGCGUAGAUAUUAGGAGGAACACCAGUGGCGAAGGCGGCUUACUGGACUGUAACUGACGUUGAGGCUCGAAAGCGUGGGGAGCAAACAGGAUUAGAUACCCCUGUAGUC